RNAcentral lists this unclassified non-coding RNA (248 nucleotides) under plant metagenome. RNAcentral describes it as "partial contains small subunit ribosomal RNA, internal transcribed spacer 1, and 5.8S ribosomal RNA". The record is from RNAcentral.
UUUCCGUAGGUGAACCUGCGGAAGGAUCAUUAAUGUAACCGGACCGUUCCUUUGCCGUAAAACGCACUGGAUUGGAAAGGGAGAUAUCAUACACCCUAUGUUUAUUUACUUUUGCUGCUUUGGUGGGCCGUCCUUUACGGCGUCAGCCUCGGCUGAUCGCGCCCGCCAGAGGACCCAAACUCUUUUAUUAGUGAUGUCUGAGUACUAUAUAAUAGUUAAAACUUUCAACAACGGAUCUCUUGGUUCUG